GUAUUACGCGUUAUCUAUUGGACACUUAUUUACUACGUCUAAUGCAUUAUUUCAUUUUGCACGCAUUUGCAUCUAUAAUCGCGAACGCUUGUAGAUUUACAUACAAAACUUUUACAUUUGUUAUUUUUUAGUUUUCACUUUACAUAGCGACCUUGUAUUGAUUUGGCUAUAGCUGCAAAAUAUGGGUUCGUUAAUUGCAAAAUGCACUUUUAACGAAGUUUCUAUUUUCGAUUUUCGGUUUUCCUUUCGGUGUCUCGGGCGUUAACACGGACAAAGUAAAAAGUAGUUUACAUUUGAUUUGCCUAUGAAAGAAAGUUGAAAAUUUGUAUUUAAAAUUUUAUUUGUCUGAGAAUUAUUAUUUAAGAGUUAUAGUUUAAAUUUGAUUAAGUUGCGCAAGUUGCUAGUUCGUACCCUUUCAUAUAGAUGACACCAGAUGGAUCGUAUGGAAUGUUGAUUUGUAUGAAAAAUUUGAUAAAAUGUUUACUUUCAAUUUAAUUCUGAUAUAAAUAUCUUUAAUUAUUUGUGUCAAGCGUUUGUCCUAGAACAACGACUCUUUCAUCAGAUUGUGCGUAGGGAGGGACCGUCACGGUUUUGAUGCGUCCAUUGCUUCCGGCCCAACCUACAGCUACGAUGUCUCUACGCGAUUCUCAGGCAUAUCAACAAUUUUUAUGGUGGGGUAUCACCCCCGGAGAGAGGGAACUCCUUAUAAGGACAAUACUUAUAAGGUCUUGUUCAAAUAUUUCUAAGUUUUAAGUCGCCUCCAGGGAGGGGACACAUAAAAAUACUCUUACAAGUUCUGACCUGAAAUGAUAGAAGGGGUACACACAAAUCAUAGGAGGCACAAUCACUUUUAACAUUUCUUUAUUCCAUUUUGAAUAUAGUUAUAAGAGCAGUGUAGACUAGAGGUGCCACGAAUAUUCGGCUACUAUUCGGUAUUCGGCCGAAUAGGCCGAAUACCGAAUACCAAAUCAUAGAAAAAAAACACAUCAUAUUAAUCAUGAUAUGUAUUUAUUAUCAAAUUAAAAUACUUUAAUAAGUAAAAUUAAUCAUCGGUAAGUUGUGAUGGAUAAAAACAAGCUUUUCAGCAUUUGACGGUAGCAAACGAUUACGCUUUUCGUCGUAAAUGGUACCAGCUUCAGAAAAUAACCUCUCACUAUACACGCUACUCCCGGGAGAAGAAAGAUAAACUUUAGCAAAUUUCGAGAGGUUUGGGUAUUGUUUUUCAUUUGCUGACCACCACUUGUAAGGAUCAGCUUUCCGAUCUAGGCGAUUUGAUUUCAAAUAAAAAUCGUUCUCAUUUGCCUAUUACUAUUUCGCAUAUUAUCUUUAGCGACUUCCUCAAAGCAGUUCCAGAAACUGUCGUGUAUUUCAAAUGUCUUAUCAUUUUCGUUCAAGUUUCUCUUCUUACGACGUGGAAAAGAAUCGUACUUAGCCGAAUAUUCGGCCGCCGAAUAUUCGGCGCUUCGGCCGACAGCAUUGCCGAAUAUUCGGUAUUCGGUAUUCGGCCAAAUCACUAUUCGUGGCAACUCUAGUGUAGACCCGAACACGCAGUCAAGUACCAUGGGUAAAAAAUAUCAAAGAAAAACAUAUAAUACAAACAAAUUUUGCAUAAUCUUCGCGACAAUUAAGGAAAACUAUUAUACAGGGUGUUCCAAAAACAAUAUAAUAACAUUAAAGAGAAAAUGCAAAAUUCAAGUAGGGAAACAUAUAUCAAAAUCACAGUCAAAGCAAAAUCAAAGAAAAUUAAUAUACAGGGUGAUGAAAAGAUAAAACGACAAGAUUUUAAAGAAAAAUCAUAAAUUUAAGUGGGAUGACAUACAUCAUUGCCCUUUUGACAAAUUCACCACGUGAAAUUAGUAUACAAGUUGUUACAAAAAAAACCACUACUGGAAGUUAUAAUACAGGGUGAUACAAAAAGAAAACUACAAUAUUUUAAAAGAAAAUCCUAAGUUUAAGUAGGAUAACAUAUAUCUUUCCUCUUUUGACAAACCCACUACGGGAAACCUUAAUACAAGGUGAUACAAAAAGAAAACUACAAUAUUUUAAAGGUAAAUCCUAAGUUUAAAUGAGAUAACAUACAUCUUUACCCUGUUGACACUACGGGAAAUUAAUAUACAGGGCGUUACAAAAACUCUAAGUUUUAAAUGUAAAACGCCCAAACACUAAUAAAUAUGGUCUAUUAAAUGAUAAGGAAAAUAUAUCUACUGAGUGAUACACAAAGAAAAAUUAAGGUUUAAGUAGAAAAACGGAUGUAAACAAUUAACAAGGCGACAAUAACAAUUUAAAAAAAUCAAAAUGAUAGAACACUUCAAAAAUUGUAUUUUUUUUUUGAUAUGAUAUUCAUGAUAUGUUAAAUCGUCGUUUUACAUGACCAGCGACCAGCAACGAGCCCCGAAAGCCGCCAGAGGAUCAAGAGCGCAGCCGACGGCACGCGACGAUCUUAAUCUUUUAAAUUUGUACAUUAAACAAAAACAAAACAAGGUAUCAAAUACGUAAUGAAAAUCAACGGUAAACUGCAAAAAUUAUUUGUAGGCUUAAAGACCACGCAGUUGAGUCGUCACCCGACGACAAAUAUGAGACUGAGUUGGUACGCACACCAACCGCGUGGCGAACCGCGUGUCGCCCGCACAAAAAUUGCCCGAGAUAAGAAUAUUUUUUGUUUGUAAACAUUGAUACAUUCAGUGUGGUAAUGCAGUACAUGAAAAGAAUUGUACUUGUACAAUGCAUGGAACUUCUUGAAGAAAUCUUUUGCCUUUUU
Molecule: long non-coding RNA, 2758 nt
Organism: Dalotia coriaria
Lineage: Eukaryota; Metazoa; Arthropoda; Insecta; Coleoptera; Staphylinidae
Exons: 2
Source: RefSeq, a predicted model, not a curated record